UGCUUAGAUAUCACACAGAACACCGAUUGCGAAGGCAGCACACUAAGUCAUUAUUGACGCUGAGGCACGAAAGUGUGGGGAUCAAACAGGAUUAGAUACCCUGGUAGUCCACACUGUAAACGAUGAUAACUCGCUGUCGGCGAUACACAGUCGGUGGCCAAGCGAAAGCAUUAAGUUAUCCACCUGGGGAGUACGACCGCAAGGUUGAAACUCAAAGGAAUUGACGGGGGCCCGCACAAGCGGAGGAACAUGUGGUUUAAUUCGAUGAUACGCGAGGAACCUUACCCGGGCUCGAACGGUGCAUGAAUAUACGAGAGAUUGUAUAGUCCUUCGGGACAUGUAUCGAGGUGCUGCAUGGUUGUCGUCAGCUCGUGCCGUGAGGUGUCGGCUUAAGUGCCAUAACGAGCGCAACCCUUGUCAUUAGUUGCCAUCAGGUCAAGCUGGGGACUUUAAUGAGACUGCCACCGUAAGGUGUGAGGAAGGGGGGGAUGACGUCAAAUCAGCACGGCCCUUAUGUCCGGGGCGACACACGUGUUACAAUGGGAGGUACAGAGGGCAGCUAUCCGGUGACGGAAUGCUAAUCUCCAAAACCUUUCUCAGUUCGGAUUGGAGUCUGCAACUCGACUCCAUGAAGGUGGAUUCGCUAGUAAUCGCGCAUCAGCCAUGGCGCGGUGAAUACGUUCCCGGGCCUUGUACACACCGCCCGUCAAGCCAUGGAAGCUUGGGGUGCCUGAAGUUCGUGACCGCAAGGAGCGACCUAAGGCAAAACAGGUAACUGGGGCUAAGUCGUAACAAGGUAACCGUA
RNAcentral lists this ribosomal RNA (805 nucleotides) under uncultured bacterium. Its description in RNAcentral is "bacterial SSU rRNA". It matches the Rfam family "Bacterial small subunit ribosomal RNA", at positions 687 to 1504 of the family's 1533-position model. The record is from RNAcentral.